UUUGUAAAUCAAUUAUUUUCAGUACCUAUUACUUCGUGAAGAAAUUGAGAAGCUGAAGCAUGAGGAGAGGAAUCUCAUUAAGGAAAAUAAAGAACUGAAAGAGAAGUGGCGUGGAAUGGGAGCAAUAGUAGUAGCAUCACCAUCAUCAACCUUGUCAUCAGCAGAAGUGAACAAGGAUAGCAAUGACAAUAUGGAAGUGGAGACUGGUUUGUUCAUUGGACCUCCUGAGCCAAGACAAUCCAAGAAACUCCCUCCUUAAAGAAGAAGAAGUUGAGCCUCAUUUUUUUAUCAAAAGAAAAAAGAAAGUUAAGCCUCACAACUUCAAAAGAAUGUUAUUUAUGUUUUAUAUAUUUUCGUCCAAAAAUUUGAGGUGCCAAUAAAUUCUAAAACAUAGUGUAGUAGUUUGUUCUUAUUCAAUGAGCUGAGCCUCAAAAGUUUCUAUAAAACUACUGUUGUAUUACUUGUGUGUAUUAGAAGUUCAGUACAUGUUUAAGUAUUUUGUUUAUAUAUAUUUUUAAUUAAUACU
This is a long non-coding RNA of Raphanus sativus (radish), 526 nucleotides long. RefSeq lists it as uncharacterized. The record is from RefSeq and is a predicted model, not a curated record. The transcript is spliced from 3 exons. NCBI's taxonomy places the organism in Eukaryota, Viridiplantae, Streptophyta, Magnoliopsida, Brassicales, Brassicaceae.